RNAcentral lists this ribosomal RNA (745 nucleotides) under uncultured bacterium. RNAcentral's name for it is "bacterial SSU rRNA". It matches the Rfam family "Bacterial small subunit ribosomal RNA", at positions 55 to 823 of the family's 1533-position model. The record is from RNAcentral.
AUGCAAGUCGAACGGUAGAGGGGGCAACCCCUCGAGAGUGGCGAACGGGUGAGUAAUAUAUCGGAACGUGCCCAGUCGUGGGGGAUAACGUAGCGAAAGUUACGCUAAUACCGCAUACGAUCUAAGGAUGAAAGCGGGGGAUCGCAAGACCUCGCGCGAUUGGAGCGGCCGAUAUCAGAUUAGGUAGUUGGUGGGGUAAUGGCCUACCAAGGCAACGACGGGUAGCUGGUCUGAGAGGAUGAUCAGCCACACUGGGACUGAGACACGGCCCAGACUCCUACGGGAGGCAGCAGUGGGGAAUCUUGCGCAAUGGGCGAAAGCCUGACGCAGCAACGCCGCGUGCGGGAUGAAGGCCUUCGGGCUGUAAACCGCUUUCAGCAGGAACGAAAAUGACGGUACCUGCAGAAGAAGGAGCGGCCAACUACGUGCCAGCAGCCGCGGUGACACGUAGGCUCCAAGCGUUGUCCGGAUUUAUUGGGCGUAAAGAGCUCGUAGGCGGUUGAGUAAGUCGGGUGUGAAAACUCUGGGCUUAACCCGGAGACGCCAUCCGAUACUGCUCUGACUAGAGUUCAGGAGGGGAGUGGGGAAUUCCUAGUGUAGCGGUGAAAUGCGCAGAUAUUAGGAGGAACACCGGUGGCGAAGGCGCCACUCUGGACUGAAACUGACGCUGAGGAGCGAAAGCAUGGGUAGCAAACAGGAUUAGAUACCCUGGUAGUCCAUGCCGUAAACGGUGGGCACUAGGCGU